RNAcentral lists this ribosomal RNA (468 nucleotides) under uncultured bacterium. RNAcentral's name for it is "partial 16S ribosomal RNA". It matches the Rfam family "Bacterial small subunit ribosomal RNA", at positions 28 to 507 of the family's 1533-position model. The record is from RNAcentral.
GACGAACGCUGGCGGCGCGCCUAACACAUGCAAGUCGAACGGAGUCACGAGGAGCUUGCUUUUCUUGACUUAGUGGCGAACGGGUGAGUAACGCGUGAGUAACCUGCCCUGGAGUGGGGGACAACAGUUGGAAACGACUGCUAAUACCGCAUAAGCCCACGGAUCCGCAUGGAUCUGCGGGAAAAGGAUUUAUUCGCUUCAGGAUGGACUCGCGUCCAAUUAGCUAGUUGGUGAGGUAACGGCCCACCAAGGCGACGAUUGGUAGCCGGACUGAGAGGUUGAACGGCCACAUUGGGACUGAGACACGGCCCAGACUCCUACGGGAGGCAGCAGUGGGGGAUAUUGCACAAUGGGGGAAACCCUGAUGCAGCGACGCCGCGUGGAGGAAGAAGGUUUUCGGAUUGUAAACUCCUGUCGUUAGGGACGAUAAUGACGGUACCUAGCAAGGAAGCACCGGCUAACUACGUG